CCUACGGGUGGCUGCAGUGGGGAAUAUUGGACAAUGGGGGGAACCCUGAUCCAGCCAUGCCGCGUGUGUGAAGAAGGCCCUCGGGUUGUAAAGCACUUUCAGUGAGGAAGAACGCCUGGUGGUUAAUACCCAUCAGGAAAGACAUCACUCACAGAAGAAGCACCGGCUAACUCCGUGCCAGCAGCCGCGGUAAUACGGAGGGUGCGAGCGUUAAUCGGAAUUACUGGGCGUAAAGCGCGCGUAGGUGGCUUGAUAAGCCGGUUGUGAAAGCCCCGGGCUCAACCUGGGAACGGCAUCCGGAACUGUCAAGCUAGAGUGCAGGAGAGGAAGGUAGAAUUCCCGGUGUAGCGGUGAAAUGCGUAGAGAUCGGGAGGAAUACCAGUGGCGCAGGCGGCCUUCUGGACUGACACUGACACUGAGGUGCGAAAGCGUGGGUAGCAAACAGGAUUAGAUACCCCUGUAGUC
RNAcentral lists this ribosomal RNA (465 nucleotides) under Vreelandella stevensii. RNAcentral describes it as "partial 16S ribosomal RNA". It matches the Rfam family "Bacterial small subunit ribosomal RNA", at positions 338 to 795 of the family's 1533-position model. The record is from RNAcentral. Lineage: Bacteria; Pseudomonadati; Pseudomonadota; Gammaproteobacteria; Oceanospirillales; Halomonadaceae.